Molecule: long non-coding RNA, 617 nt
Organism: Vespa velutina
Lineage: Eukaryota; Metazoa; Arthropoda; Insecta; Hymenoptera; Vespidae
Exons: 2
Source: RefSeq, a predicted model, not a curated record
UUAAAAUAAGUAACAAUUAUUAAUAAAUCGAUCGUUCCGAUCGUUCAGUUAAUCGUUAGCCGAUCAAUGGAACUGAUUCAAAAGGAAAUAAUCGAAAUCAAUCGUUAGAUUGAUCACUCGAUUGACGCUAUUUGAAACGACAAAGCCAACGACUACCGUGUUGCAUGGUAAAAAACUACAAGGAGAGCUUGUGUCGAAAAUAUAUUCUAUGCCCGUUGAGGAACAUGAAAGGCGUUUGACGUGUACCGGUGCAUCAUGUAGAGACAUACAUUAUGUAUCCACCGAGCAAAACGAAUUCGCCGAAACUCUACGAAGGAUAAAUUUAACCGCUUCGUACGCGCGGGUUCCUCUUCGAAAGUUUCUCAUCGUCAGUGCCACGUAGCAGAAGACGCGUUAUGCGGCUAUUUUUCUUUUUUCCUCCUUUUUUUUUUCCUUUCUUUUUCUCUUUUUUUUUUUCUUUUUUUUUUCUUUUUUUUUUUUUUUUUUCAAAGGAUCAGUUUGCGGUUGGUCGACCGGCGCAAACGAUUAAUGAGCCCCCAUCGGGUUUUCCAUAAAAAAUAAGUGGCCUGACACUUACCGCAGUCUCACCCGCCUAAGACUUCGAUCUUCACGAGGAU